RNAcentral lists this ribosomal RNA (497 nucleotides) under uncultured bacterium. RNAcentral describes it as "partial 16S ribosomal RNA". It matches the Rfam family "Bacterial small subunit ribosomal RNA", at positions 28 to 507 of the family's 1533-position model. The record is from RNAcentral.
GAUGAACGCUGGCGGCGUGCCUAAUACAUGCAAGUCGAGCGAACAGACGAGGAGCUUGCUCCUCUGACGUUAGCGGCGGACGGGUGAGUAACACGUGGAUAACCUACCUAUAAGACUGGGAUAACUUCGGGACACCGGAGCUAAUACCGGAUAAUAUAUUGAACCGCAUGGUUCAAUAGUGAAAGACGGUUUUGCUGUCACUUAUAGAUGGAUCCGCGCCGCAUUAGCUAGUUGGUAAGGUAACGGCUUACCAAGGCGACGAUGCGUCGCCGACCUGAGAGGGUGAUCGGCCACACGGGAACUGAGACACGGUCCAGACUCCUACGGGAGGCAGCAGUAGGGAAUCUUCCGCAAUGGGCGAAAGCAUGACGGAGCAACGCCGCGUGAGUGAUGAAGGUCUUCGGAUCGUAAAACUCUGUUAUUAGGGAAGAACAAAUGUGUAAGUAACUAUGCACGUCUUGACGGUACCUAAUCAGAAAGCCACGGCUAACUACGUG